GCCUGGGUGGCUCAGUCAGUUAAGCAUCUGACUUCAGUUGAGGUCGUGAUCUCACAGUUUGUAGGUUCGAGCCCAACCUCAGGCU
RNAcentral lists this transfer RNA (85 nucleotides) under Felis catus (domestic cat). It matches the Rfam family "tRNA". From Rfam's summary of the family: Transfer RNA (tRNA) molecules are approximately 80 nucleotides in length. The record is from Rfam by way of RNAcentral. Lineage: Eukaryota; Metazoa; Chordata; Mammalia; Carnivora; Felidae.